RNAcentral lists this ribosomal RNA (444 nucleotides) under uncultured bacterium. RNAcentral's name for it is "partial 16S ribosomal RNA". It matches the Rfam family "Bacterial small subunit ribosomal RNA", at positions 354 to 796 of the family's 1533-position model. The record is from RNAcentral.
GUAGGGAAUAUUGGGCAAUGGUCGGAAGACUGACCCAGCCAUGCCGCGUGCAGGAAGACGGCCCUCUGGGUUGUAAACUGCUUUUAUCUGGGAAGAAAAAGGCCAUGCGUGGCAAAUUGCCGGUACCAGAUGAAUAAGCACCGGCUAACUCCGUGCCAGCAGCCGCGGUAAUACGGAGGGUGCGAGCGUUGUCCGGAUUUAUUGGGUUUAAAGGGUGCGUAGGCGGCUGAUUAAGUCAGCGGUGAAAGACUUCGGCUUAACCGGAGCAGUGCCGUUGAUACUGGUUGGCUUGAGUGUCGGAGGGGUACAUGGAAUUGAUGGUGUAGCGGUGAAAUGCAUAGAUACCAUCAGGAACACCGAUAGCGAAGGCAUUGUACUGGCCGACAACUGACGCUGAUGUACGAAAGUGUGGGGAUCGAACAGGAUUAGAUACCCCGGUAGUCC